ACAAGCUCAUACUUGCCACAAAACUAUUUUUAUUCAACAAUCCAACCUUCUGGCUGUAUGAAACACUUAAAAAAGAAAAGAAAAUGAAAUAACACUGUAGUCAAUUACAACUGUUUUUGCAGAUCAAGCAAAGACUCACACAAAUCUGAGGAAUAUUAUUUGGAAUCACCAUGUACUUUGCAGUUUUAAAACAAACUGUUGUAUAUGAUUACAACUGCUAAUUAGUCUGCAGUUAAAAAAAGGGCUUGCACACCUUAGUGAGUUGUUAAACCAAGCUGAUUAGCAUAACUCAUGGAUCCAACAUGAGAGAUGUCAAUUGAAAUCAAGAAAAGGAUUAUCAAACUUCUCAAACAAGGUUAAUCUUCACAGAAUGUGGCAAGAGAUGUUGGCUGUUCUCAGUCAGCUGUGUCUAGAUCAAGUACAAAUCAAAUGGGAAGGUUUGAAGAAGUGAAGCAUACUGGUAGAUGUCAAAGCGUCAGAAAACUUAAAGCAAUAUGCCUUCAACACAGAAAAUGCACAACAAAGCAAAUGAGGAACAAAUGGGCAGAAAGAGGGGUCACUGUCUGUGACUGGACUGUAAGAAAUCGCCUAAAAGAUUUACAUUUUACAUCAUAUAAAUUUAUGAUGACAGAUUUCCUCAAUCAUUAAGAAUAUGGGGUUGUAUGUCAGGUAAAGGUGUGGGAGAGAUGAAAGUCAUUACAUCCUCUUUAAAUGCACAAGUUUAUAUUGAGAUUUUGGACACUUUUCUUAUUCCAUCAGUUGAACAGAUGUUUGGUGAUGAUGACAGUUUUUCAGAUUGAUAAUGCAUAAGGCAAAAUCUGUGAAAACUUUCCUACAGGAAAGACAUAAAAUGUCAAUAGGAUGGCCUGCAAGUAGUCCAGACCUCAAUCCAAUUGAAAAUCUGUGGUGGAAAUGAAAGAAAAUAGUCCAUGACAAGGAUCCAACCUGCAAAGCUGAUCUGGCAACUGCAAUAAGAUAAAGUUAGAGACAGAUUGAUGAAGAAUACUGUUAAAUCCAUGCCUCAGAAAAUUCAAGCUGUUACAAAAGUCAGAGGUGGUGCAACAUAGUACUAGUGGUGUUUUUAUUUAAUGAUUCCAUAUCAUUUUCCUCAGAUUUGAGUGAUUCCAUAUUUUCUUCCUCUGCUUGAUCUGUUAUUAUUGUUAUUGACUACGGUGUUCUUUCAUUUUCUUUGUGUAUAAGCGUUUCAUACAGCCAGAAGGUUGGAUUGUUGAAUGAAAGUAGUUUUGUGGCAUGUGUGUGUUUGUUUUUUUCUGCACAAUUAAACAUUUAAAUUAACAUCUUUCAAGAGUGGUGAUUCCAUACCUAAUAAUGACAUUGGUAUGACCUAAAGAAGGUAUUACAAUGUUGAAAUGGUUUAUGAGGACAUGCGCUGUGUCUUAGUAGUUUAAAAUUUAAAAUUUUGACAUUCAAUAUUUGCCACAGGUUUCCUGUGAGGGUUGGGUUUAGGGGUAGGGGUGGGGUAAGGCCAUAAGUAUACUUACAUACACUCAAAAAUGACAUGUUGUUUGUUCAAACUACUUAAAUUACAACUUAUUUGUCUUAGGUUCAACCUAUUUAAAUUUGUGAAAAAAGUACAGUCUAAUGUAACCCAAUUCUGGAUGUAUUAGGGACUAACCCAACGAGAGGGGCCUGGAUGCAGAUCUGGUGCAGUGCAAUCUGUGCUGUAUCCAAUGCUUUUUAAUGCGCUCACCUAACCCUACCCCUCACAGUGACAUUACUAGCUCCAUUAAGUGCAUUGUGUCUGACAUUGCAUCGCUAAGAGAUGCAAUCUCAGCUUGUAACAUAAAGGCUGCAUCCAGAUACUAUUGAACCCAACUGCAAAUUUAAUCCAAUGUUUGGGUUAGUCCAUGUUUUACCCAGUUUGGGUUUAAAUAGCCCAGUAUUUCUUAAUGCAUAAGUUAACUUAAUUCCUUAAUGUUACCCCAACACAAAUCCAUUGUGUAAACCCAGCAUUUUUUCACAAUGUAAGUAUAUUUACAGUAUAAAAUACAUUAUGCCUAUGGAGGGUCCUCGAAAACCACCAAAACCAACAUGCGUGUGUGUGUGUGUGUGUGUGUGUGUGUGUGUGUGUGUGUGUGUGCGUGUGAGUGUGUGUAGGCACGUUUGGAAGCCGAAUGCCCUUCUCUGCACUAUCAUUCCAGAUCAGUCAUCACAGCAGUGUCAACAUUUAAACAAACUAUCCAUAGUGACAUCAACGUCGACAAUGUUCCCAUCAAGGACGCCACUGUUGGAGCUUGAUAAAUCCGUCACGGUCGACACCCAUCGACCACUUCAUGCUAACAAUGGAAGUGGUACUUAUGUGCAUUGUAAGUCUUGGCGCUACUGCUAACGGUUGCUUUUUUUACGUCCUUUGGUUGCUUUCAGUGCUUAGGGGAUUUUAGUGUUUAUAUACAAGCUAAAGGGAAAGGGAAAAAAGGCAGGCCGCCUGUCACACCAAUGCACUUGUCUUACAGUUGUGCUCAUCGAGAUGGACUCGCAGCCAGAUCGAGGCCUGUGAAAUCCCGGAAAGCGGCUCAAACUGGGUCAGCGACACAUCAAGGUAGUUCAGUCUAGAUUGUGGUCUCUUGUGUUUUUGUUUCCAGUGGAGUAUAAAAUAAUAAUUCAGUCACAUCGGAUAGAAUAUAUAAAGGGAAUGUACAGUGAACUCAUUUUAAUGCUAGAGCUGGGAUGUCUCGGAAAGGUUAUAAUAAUAUUUAAUGAAAAGAAAAAAAAAAAGCCUCAAAACAUCAUCCGAGGGCUUGUGUUUUAUAGUUUAAAUGUGUGAUUAGCCAGAAUACCUCUCAUAUGUCACAACGAAGAAUGUAUAUUCUUAUAUAAAACUGUUUUGAGUUGUCAUUUUCGAUUUAUAUAAAAAGAUCACUUUGUGUUAGCUGCCAGUGUGUGAAAUGGUGCCUAAUUUUAAUCAUUUGCGCUGUACAGGUUGUGUCUAGUUUUGGAAUGAUAUAUAGAUACGCUGUUGCACAUGAAUUUACGUGAAGCAAAAUUGAUCGGUGGAAGAACUGGAUGUUGUUUAUAGUAUUUGUGUAUCUGUGCUGUGAAAGUGAGUACUAUUUGUUCAUACCGCAUGCUAGACCAGCAACACACGUUACGAGUAAUAAAUUCACAAAAGAAGCAUGACCCAAAAUCUUUACAGCCAUGUGUACACAUGCUGAAUAUUUUUGUAUUCACGUUUCAACCAGCUUGAUACAUGGUAUAUGUAUUUUUGUAACAUUUGGGACCAUUUUUUCAUGGCUGUUUUAAUGUUCACAAGCAAUCAUUUUAAAUAAACAACUUGAGCUGUA
Danio aesculapii is the source of this 3302-nucleotide long non-coding RNA. RefSeq lists it as uncharacterized. Lineage: Eukaryota; Metazoa; Chordata; Actinopteri; Cypriniformes; Danionidae. The record is from RefSeq and is a predicted model, not a curated record. The transcript is spliced from 2 exons.